This is a long non-coding RNA of Struthio camelus australis, 4891 nucleotides long. RefSeq lists it as uncharacterized. NCBI's taxonomy places the organism in Eukaryota, Metazoa, Chordata, Aves, Struthioniformes, Struthionidae. The record is from RefSeq and is a predicted model, not a curated record.
UAUGCCUGUUUGGGGAUGAAUUUCAGUUUCAUGCUUGCCUCAGUGCUUGCUCUAUGCUCUAAGGCCGUUCUAAUGCUGCUGUGGCUAGAAUAACUGCAGUGCAGUGUUAGCAGCCACAGGAAAGCAGAGCUGUGGUUGCUGCUGCCCUUUGCUGUCUAUGGGAAGUAGAAGCUUCUAACCAAUGGAGUUGCAACUCAGCUGAGAAGAGUGUUAAAGGAGCUACUCCUCAUGUAUGCUGUGCGAAGCAACUCAGCCAGUAUGCAUACCCAGUAAACUCCUCUAAAACCUAAUAAUCCUACAACUACCCCAACAGGUCAACAGGGGGACAAGGCAGUCAAAGGCAUCACUGCAGCAAGCAAGAUUUAAACCUCCAUCAUGUCAUUGAUCCACCCCCAAAUGCCCUCUCCUGCGGGUUCCUCACGGCAAGGCAGAAUUUUUAUCAUCUUGCAGUUGCACUGAACCUUGCCAAAAGAAUCAGCAAAGGAAGGGUACAUGGAAAUCACUGUCCUUGCAUUUAGUGGUGCCUGUUCUGCAGUAACGCUGGAUCCGGCUGAGGGAACAUGAAGAAUUUAUGAAGACGCACACCCGUCUCGUGUGAUGAGAAGACAUAUUUUAACAAAGAUAACCAGCCCCCUUCCGUAUGCUGAAGAGAAGCAGAAGUCUUCCCUAAAGACUGUGAUCUUUAACCCCAAGAGCUUUUCUAGGAAGGUUGGCCCAACAGGGUUCGUGGUCUGCCAGCUGUGCACCUACUGCAGAGACGAAAAGUACCCUGCAGAGCUGGCAUGCCCUGUGUGACUCCAGAGCUCAAGAAAGGUGAGGGAGAAGGACUCACAGCAACUGGGAAGUUCCCACGGAUGAGACAGAGUAUCUGGAGUGAAGAAAAGGACUAAAAGGACUUGGAAAAAACGACUAUGAGAUAAGAGAAGGAAAAGAAAAGCUGAAUUUGCACUUUGGAAGAAAAGGGAUGAUAACAAAAGAAGUAGGCAAGUGACAGCCUCUAAUUCCUAGACUGCUCCAAACGUACAGAUCACAUGAGCUGGCAAGCACGGAGACGCGGUGGCGUCGCAGGGCUGGUGGGUCCGGUCCCACGGACCCGGCGGAAGGAGCAGUGAGACGCGGGUACCCGCUGCCUCCCCUGGCCCAGCUGCUUGGCCUGGCGGCUCCCUGAAAGGCAUCGCCCUGAUUUGCUGUUUGAAAUGUUAUUAACGAACACAAACAGAAAGCAGAGAUACAGGUUCUGGACAGUUUUUGUUGCUGCCAUUGAACCAGCUUUGGACAUUUACGGGAAUCCAGUGACAGAUGCUCAUAAUUUAUUGGAACAGAGCUUUGACAGCUUGAAAACAACUCAUUGACCUCGCCUAAGGAUCAAAAAGUAAUAAAAGCUGUUACAAACUAGCUGCCAUUAAGAAAGCAACAUUUAGUGAUAGUUAUGGUUGUUUAUCUGGUUCAAAGGUACAUCAGUUUUGGUUUUGCAGCUUUUCAUCAGAUCCCACUUAAUCUGCUCUUUAUUCCUGCAACUUUUCAGUGAAAUCCAGACAUCCCACCACUACCUGGGAUGUGGUAAUGCAUAUGCAGCCUCACAGGAACUCAGUGCUACUUAAUGUCUGGAUGAACUAAAACAAUGUGUUUGGCAGCUUUCCGCAAUACAUUUAUGAAAUCCUUUGAAAUGGGAAUUCCAUUAUAAUUCAGCGUGAUUGUAAAUACUUUAAAAUGUGGAAGCCUAAAUGGCAAAGGGAGUUGUCUGCUGUAGUUAGUGAUAAAUGUUCUGUGCAAUACGCUGGUUUUAGCUGCCCUGCUUCCCCAGUUCUCUGAGGAAUUAAGUAGUUAAAUUUAUGUGCAUAGUACUGAAACUGUUAAUGCUGAAUGUCAACCUCAGACCUGUUUUCUCCUAAAGUAUAGCAAAAAAAAAAAAACAAUGGAAAAACUCUCCCACACCUCAGUCUGGUAAGAGGAUUGCAAGUCAAGCAGAAAAUUUAAAACAUCUCUAGUUUUUCUAACCAACCUGUCACAUCCCAAUCUGUUGUGACAGGGCAGGAGGUGCAGCCAGACAGCGCAUUGGGGAAGGGGUCAGGACUUAGGCUCCUCUCUUUUUGACAGAGGUGACAGUGUGGGUACAGAGUGCCUGCCUGUGAGUGCCUGUGCUAACAAGGUGCUUUUUGUGAGCUGUCGAGGGCGGGUGGGACACAUGGGGCUUUCUGCCUUCUGCCAGGUCCCACGGUGGCCGCUGUCCUUCUUCCUCAUCUUAAUUUCCAGGUAAAAGCUCUGGACUCUGGACUUGUUUGUCCUUUUUGUGAAAAGGAUAGUCCUAACUGUAAGGUACAGACCUCUUUAAGUCCACGUUUACAGUUCCCAAAGCCUUAGCAUGGCCACUUAAAACUGCUCGUGGUGAGGAGAAAGCGAAGAUGCGCGGUAGCUUAUGCAGCUGCCCAUUUCUACGCAGAGGUCCAGGCAGCCGGCUUGUCACAGGACUGCAUUGGCCACACUGUUUCCUUAGCUAAAGCGUGUGAAUUUGGUGUGUGACCCUGAAUAAGCCUUAGGGUGUGUCAGUGCAAGGAUGAAGCAUGGGUCCUUCCUGCAAAGGCCACGUACAAAGCCAGAGGGACUAGCCAGGAGCAAAGCACACCUGAGGGGCCUGAGCUUCCCCCUGGCCUGGGAGCUGAACGGUUUGAUCACUCCUGACCUCAAACAGGAAUGAGCUUCACCUGUGUGGGGAGGCCAGCUCAGGUGCCAGCAAUCUCUUCUUGAGGAGAGACAGGUAAAGGAAACAGGCAUAGGUAGGAGUAGCUUUUAUUUCUGUAUGGCUCCCUCAGGCUCCUCUCCUCUGGCUGGGGGUGACUUGGGGAGAAGGAGUUACAUGCAGCGCUGGAAACAGUCCUUGGUGGCACUGCUUCCCUUGAAGAGAGAUUGCCAGGGUGAGUUUAUGAAGUUACCCUACUUUUUCUAGGUUAUAAAUUUGAUCAGGAGAGUAUGUUGCUCCUGAAUCUGAGCUUUAAGGAGGUGAAAAACUGUCAUAUGUAAAGAUGAAGUGAGUUACCCAGGUUUAUUUGGGGCUUCUGGAAAGUGAGAGGUUCAGGAGAGGGUGUGCUUACUGGUGGGCCUCUUUUCUAUAAUGUUUUAAGAGGCCCCUUCUUACAGAUUAGCUGAUUUCCUUGCCUCUGGCUUUAUUUAAAUGAGCAAAUUUUCUGACUGCACCUGGAAAAAGAGCUGGAAGCUCUCUGUAAAAUAUGAGCAAAUGAACGCAUGCAUCGUGUAUCUUAAGCUACUUUUUGAGCACUAAUGACAGAAACUGUAAUAAGGGCAAAUGUUCCUUUACAGAAUCUAUGUACGUAGCACCAUGCUGCCAGCUGACCUGAGCGUGUUCCUGCAGCAGAGCCUGAGGUUAAUGCUGAACAAGCCUGGUGCAAUACUGACAGACCUCAGUUUUCUUGGAAGCAGUACUGUAAAAAGGGAAGCUGUGUACUAAUUGCUGUAAGACUUUAUAAAAAAUAGGGGGGAAGGGAGAUGCUUGCAUUAUUUACGCAAAGCUGGCUGUAAUAGAGCUUCAUGAGUGUGCUUGGGUGGGCCCUUGGGACCUCUCUAGCCUCCAGCUAGAAGCCAGAGAGAGCUCAACACAUCGACGUGGAGAAGAGGCUUUCCUUCCCCCACUGCCUCUGGUCUGCAGUCUGCUCAGAGACAGUAACAGCUCUGAGUUCUGCUACUGCUAUGUGCUGCUAUUUGCUGUUACUGCAUCAAUGGGGUUAUGUGAUGGUUUUGUUGGUUUUUUUUUUUUUGACGUUAUAUGGUACUUUGACUACCUUUCUGUUCUUAUUUGGCUAGGGCAGUCCCAGGCUGUUUUUACUUUCACCUCCAGAGCUCAAAUGUGUGAUGCAGAGUGUUUUAACUUGUGUACCCUUUCGCUACCUUGCAAUUGAGGUUUAUGUUUAAAAAAGGGCUUUAAAAGGCCAAAACACUUUUUUCCUAUUUGACAAGCUGGUCAAGGGCUGAAGUUAAAAUGUGAAUCAAUGACUUCCGAUUCAAAUAGAACCAAAAUUUACACGGAGGUACAUUAAGCUCCCUUUUAACUGUCUUUGGAGUUAAAUGGGGUUGAGUACAGUAUGAAGUAUCACAAAUUCUAAUACUUCAAUAGGUUUUUUUAUCCCUUAUGAGGAGUAAAUCUUGAAAUAUUCAAUCCACUGAAAAGAUUCUCCCAAAGCUUUAAAACUAGAGAUAAUGAUUUGGUUUUCAAAUUCUUGAUUGGAAUUGAACAUAAAUACUUUGUUUCAAUUUUAUAAGGCAUGCCUUUAUUUCCAGCCCCUGCAAACCCUGUUUGUAAGUCUCUAAGUCUUUCAAUAUGAAAUUUACCGCAACUAUUCAUAAUUCUGAAUUAAAUGGAAGAGCUCAGGUGAUUCUCGGUUAGGCUGAGAACAGAGGGCAUUGUGAAUAGAAUAUAGAAUAUUUUAUUACUGUCAGAGCCUAAAUAACUUAAACUUUGAGAUAGCACAAGAACUUAUGUGACAAGGCUUAGUGAAUGCCUCAGAAUCAACAGAAAAGCUAAUCAGCUCAAAAAAAGGGGUGAAUGUAACUAGAGGUGUAGAGGGGGUAAUGAGGAGAGUAGAGGAGGCUGUCGGGUGUGUGAGCAAAGCAGUUCUGAGAUGCAUCAUGAGUGGAAAGCCCUACUGAAAUCCAAGUUUCUAUGCCCUUUCCUUCUUCUGCCCAUUUUCUUCUUGUCAUAUUUCUACAGUGAUGUUUCAGGCUAGUUGUAUAUAAUUGAAGAGAUUAGAAAAAGUGAGAAAAAUUCUGCAUUGACAUGCACCUCCACUGACAUCAAACAGACUGCAUACCUUGUGUCUCUCCUGCUUUAAGUUCCCUUUUAAAAAAAAAAAAAACACAGUUUAAGGAAGAGUUGCUAUUG